GGCAGGCCUAACACAUGUCAAGUCGAGUCGAGAUCUUCGGAUCUAGCGGCGGACGGGUGAGUAACGCGUGGGAACGUGCCCUUCUCUACGGAAUAGUCCCGGGAAACUGGGUUUAAUACCGUAUACGCCCUUCGGGGGAAAGAAUUUCGGAGAAGGAUCGGCCCGCGUUGGAUUAGGUAGUUGGUGGGGUAAUGGCCUACCAAGCCGACGAUCCAUAGCUGGUUUGAGAGGAUGAUCAGCCACACUGGGACUGAGACACGGCCCAGACUCCUACGGGAGGCAGCAGUGGGGAAUCUUAGACAAUGGGCGCAAGCCUGAUCUAGCCAUGCCGCGUGAGUGACGAAGGCCCUAGGGUCGUAAAGCUCUUUCGCCAGGGAUGAUAAUGACAGUACCUGGUAAAGAAACCCCGGCUAACUCCGUGCCAGCAGCCGCGGUAAUACGGAGGGGGUUAGCGUUGUUCGGAAUUACUGGGCGUAAAGCGCGCGUAGGCGGACUAUUAAGUCAGGGUGAACUCCCGGGGCUCAUCCCGGAACUGCCCUUGAUACUGGUAGUCUUGAGUUCGAGAGAGGUGAGUGGAAUUCCGAGUGUAGAGGUGAA
This 597-nucleotide ribosomal RNA is filed under the name uncultured Roseobacter sp. Its description in RNAcentral is "bacterial SSU rRNA". It matches the Rfam family "Bacterial small subunit ribosomal RNA", at positions 41 to 685 of the family's 1533-position model. The record is from RNAcentral. Lineage: Bacteria; Pseudomonadati; Pseudomonadota; Alphaproteobacteria; Rhodobacterales; Roseobacteraceae.